This 521-nucleotide ribosomal RNA is filed under the name uncultured bacterium. Its description in RNAcentral is "bacterial SSU rRNA". It matches the Rfam family "Bacterial small subunit ribosomal RNA", at positions 777 to 1297 of the family's 1533-position model. The record is from RNAcentral.
AAUAGAUACCCUGGUAGUCCACGCCGUAAACGAUGAGUGCUAAGUGUUGGAGGGUUUCCGCCCUUCAGUGCUGCAGCUAACGCAUUAAGCACUCCGCCUGGGGAGUACGGUCGCAAGACUGAAACUCAAAGGAAUUGACGGGGGCCCGCACAAGCGGUGGAGCAUGUGGUUUAAUUCGAAGCAACGCGAAGAACCUUACCAGGUCUUGACAUCUCCUGACCGCCCUGGAGACAGGGUCUUCCCUUCGGGGACAGGAUGACAGGUGGUGCAUGGUUGUCGUCAGCUCGUGUCGUGAGAUGUUGGGUUAAGUUCCGCAACGAGCGCAACCCUUGGUUCUAAUUGCCAGCAUUGAGUUGGGCACUCUAGAGCGACUGCCGGCGACAAGUCGGAGGAAGGUGGGGAUCACGUCAAAUCAUCAUGCCCCUUAUGACCUGGGCUACACACGUGCUACAAUGGAUGGUACAAAGGGCAGCAAAGCGGCGACGCAUGAGCGAAUCCCAGAAAACCAUUCUCAGUUCGGU